CACGUAGGGUGCGAGCGUUGUCCGGAAUUAUUGGGCGUAAAGAGCUCGUAGGCGGUGUGUCGCGUCGGCCGUGAAAACCUGCAGCUUAACUGUGGGCGUGCGGUCGAUACGGGCAUCACUGGAGUUCGGCAGGGGAGACUGGAAUCCUGGUGUAGCGGUGAAAUGCGCAGAUAUCAGGAGGAACACCGGUGGCGAAGGCGGGUCUCUGGGCCGAUACUGACGCUGAGGAGCGAAAGCGUGGGGAGCGAACAGG
RNAcentral lists this ribosomal RNA (253 nucleotides) under uncultured bacterium. Its description in RNAcentral is "partial 16S ribosomal RNA". It matches the Rfam family "Bacterial small subunit ribosomal RNA", at positions 524 to 776 of the family's 1533-position model. The record is from RNAcentral.